Molecule: ribosomal RNA, 46 nt
Filed under: Rhizoctonia solani
Lineage: Eukaryota; Fungi; Basidiomycota; Agaricomycetes; Cantharellales; Ceratobasidiaceae
Source: RNAcentral
AUCCACGGCCAUAGGACUUCGAAAGCACCGCAUCCCGUCUGAUCUG